RNAcentral lists this transfer RNA (90 nucleotides) under Candidatus Pacearchaeota archaeon ex4484_26. Its description in RNAcentral is "tRNA-Arg". It matches the Rfam family "tRNA". From Rfam's summary of the family: Transfer RNA (tRNA) molecules are approximately 80 nucleotides in length. Their secondary structure includes four short double-helical elements and three loops (D, anti-codon, and T loops). Lineage: Archaea; Nanobdellati. The record is from RNAcentral.
GCCCCUGUAGCUCAACUGGAUACCAAUAAGGCCAGAAAGAGCGAUGCCCUCCUAAGGCAUAGGUUGCGGGUUCAAGUCCCGUCAGGGGCA